This 21-nucleotide non-coding RNA is filed under the name Caenorhabditis elegans. Lineage: Eukaryota; Metazoa; Nematoda; Chromadorea; Rhabditida; Rhabditidae. The record is from RNAcentral.
UUAGAGAGAGUUUCGGAAAUU